AUUGAACGCUGGCGGAAUGCUUUACACAUGCAAGUCGAACGGCAGCACGGGGGCAACCCUGGUGGCGAGUGGCGAACGGGUGAGUAAUACAUCGGAACGUGCCCGGUCGUGGGGGAUAACGUAGCGAAAGUUACGCUAAUACCGCAUACGAUCUGAGGAUGAAAGCGGGGGACCUUCGGGCCUCGCGCGAUCGGAGCGGCCGAUGUCAGAUUAGGUAGUUGGUGGGGUAAAGGCCUACCAAGCCGACGAUCUGUAGCUGGUCUGAGAGGACGACCAGCCACACUGGGACUGAGACGCGGCCCAGACUCCUACGGGAGGCAGCAGUGGGGAAUUUUGGACAAUGGGCGCAAGCCUGAUCCAGCCAUUCCGCGUGGAGGACGAAGGCCUUCGGGUUGUAAACUGCUUUUGUAUGGAACGAAAAGGCUCUGGCUAAUACCUGGGGCUCAUGACGGUACCGUAAGAAUAAGCACCGGCUAACUACGUG
RNAcentral lists this ribosomal RNA (484 nucleotides) under uncultured bacterium. RNAcentral describes it as "partial 16S ribosomal RNA". It matches the Rfam family "Bacterial small subunit ribosomal RNA", at positions 30 to 507 of the family's 1533-position model. The record is from RNAcentral.